This 1268-nucleotide long non-coding RNA is filed under the name Pan troglodytes (chimpanzee). RNAcentral describes it as "long non-coding RNA NONPTRT005082". Lineage: Eukaryota; Metazoa; Chordata; Mammalia; Primates; Hominidae. The record is from RNAcentral.
CAGUGACAGAGCCAGAAUUUGAACUCAGGCCUGCCUGACUCCAGAGUCUUGGUAAUAACUAUGUUGUAUACCAAUUGACUUAAACUGGAUUCUCCCUUAUUUUCUUGCAUUGGCAGAGAUCUUCACAAGCAGGAGCGUAGUCGUCACAGUUUAUCGGUUCUGACUCAGCUCUACCACUGAUUUGGUUCUUAACCAUGGCAUGUUGCUCUGGGCCUCAGUUUAUUGAUUUUUUUUUUUUUUUUUUUUGUAAGAGGGCAACAUCCACAUCAUCACUACGCUCAAAUGAAAUAACGGAAGUGAAAACUCCUCAAUUAUGGAGCUGGCACUGAUUGGAAGAAAUUGCCAUGAUUCCAGUACUUUAGCUUGGAAAUUUUGUGAUUCAAAAAAGAAAAGAAGGGAGAGUCCUCACAGCAUUACUGAUAAAUGAUCUGAAGGAUACUUAUGAGAGGCACCUUUCCAAGCUGCCUGCAAAUCCGUCUACUUCACCCAGAGCAGGCCCAAGCUAUGGCUGCUUUGAGCACAGUCACCAGGGACGCUACUCUGCCAGCCUGUUCUCAUCCCUGCCCCCUCUCUCGCUGGCAGCUGCAUCUGCAGAGUACCCGCAGGGCACUGUGCCAACAGGCACGUUUCAUCCUACCAGGUCCAGUCUGCCAGCCUGACUGGUUUUCCUUCCUCAGAGGCCUGGGCCCAGGUUGUCUUGUAUGCCUGGGAUAACCUCCCUCUAUGCACCUAAGUUUACCCUACCCUCUUAAGCCAUAGCUCAAACAAACAACUUCUUUUCCAAAAGAGAAGCUUCCUCCAAUAGGGGCCAAUUGUUCCUCAUGCCUCCAAAGCACCCUCAACCCGCUGCUUCCUUAAGGCACCUCUGUAAUCACUCUGCUUAUCUGGAUGCGGCCAGGCUGAGGGAAGUGGCUGCACCGAUUAUUGCAACACCUGGAGGACAAGGAUUCUGAGUCAUCGUGACCCUCAGCUAGAGCAUGUACUACACUGUCUGCUUAGUAAAUACUCCCCAAAGGACCAAGUCAAAAACAACAGAGAAGUUCUACUGCUCUACCGAAAGUGAACACCAUAUAUUAGCAGCACUUGGGAACUGAGAGCGUCCCUGAAGAUCAUCUAGCCCAGCCCACUCAUCCUGAUGAAUCCUGCCUUACAGAUAAAUUGGUGGCACACUAGGUCCAGUUUCCAGUUCCUGCUGCAGUGACUCAUCCACGACCCCUGCUGCCUGCAAUCAAGUUGCCAGGCUGAACAUAACCUGCCUUUGCUUCUUG